UCAGAUACCGUUGUAGUCUAUUGAGAAAUCAUUGUGCUCACAUCGAUAUUAUCUUCGAGCAACAAAAUCAUAAUAUCAUCAUUAAA
Molecule: small nucleolar RNA, 86 nt
Filed under: Eremothecium sinecaudum
Lineage: Eukaryota; Fungi; Ascomycota; Saccharomycetes; Saccharomycetales; Saccharomycetaceae
Description: HBRSNR79
Source: RNAcentral